AGAGACAGCAGUAGCCACGGUAAUACGUAGGUCCCGAGCGUUGUCCGGAUUUAUUGGGCGUAAAGCGAGCGCAGGCGGCUUGAUAAGUCUGAAGUUAAAGGCUGUGGCUCAACCAUAGUUCGCUUUGGAAACUGUCAAACUUGAGUGCAGAAGGGGAGAGUGGAAUUCCAUGUGUAGCGGUGAAAUGCGUAGAUAUAUGGAGGAACACCGGUGGCGAAAGCGGCUCUCUGGUCUGUAACUGACGCUGAGGCUCGAAAGCGUGGGGAGCGAACAGGAUUAGAUACCCCAGUAGUCCCUGUCUCUUAUACA
RNAcentral lists this ribosomal RNA (309 nucleotides) under uncultured bacterium. RNAcentral describes it as "partial 16S ribosomal RNA". It matches the Rfam family "Bacterial small subunit ribosomal RNA", at positions 504 to 808 of the family's 1533-position model. The record is from RNAcentral.